Molecule: transfer RNA, 72 nt
Filed under: Ariosoma shiroanago (shiro-anago)
Lineage: Eukaryota; Metazoa; Chordata; Actinopteri; Anguilliformes; Congridae
Description: tRNA-Gly
Rfam family: tRNA
About the family: Transfer RNA (tRNA) molecules are approximately 80 nucleotides in length. Their secondary structure includes four short double-helical elements and three loops (D, anti-codon, and T loops).
Source: RNAcentral
AUUCUCCUAGUAUUAAUAUCAAUACAAAUGACUUCCAAUUAUUUAAUCUUGGUUAAAACCCAGGGGAGAAUA